GCUGGGGACAGUUAGAAGUUCACAAGUAGCAAACAAAGAUCAGACUGAAAGAAGCCAGAGUUAAGCUGUUAGGGUUCCUCGGAGCUCAGCUGGAAGUGACUGGAUGACAAGGCGCGCAAACUCAGCUGUGGGAAUGCCAUCAUGAUUCCACAAGUAGUGACCAAUGAGACCAUCACAGUGAUUUCGCCAAAUAGAAUCAACUUUCCCCAAACAGAGGAACCCCAGUCUACCCACCAGAGGCAAGACAGCCUGAAGAAACUUCUAAAGGCAGAGAUCAAAGUGAUGGCGGCAAUCCAGAUCAUGUGUGCUGUGAUGGUGUUGGCUCUGGGAAUCAUUCUGGCAUCAGUU
This 348-nucleotide long non-coding RNA is filed under the name Rattus norvegicus (Norway rat). RNAcentral describes it as "long non-coding RNA NONRATT031437". The record is from RNAcentral. Lineage: Eukaryota; Metazoa; Chordata; Mammalia; Rodentia; Muridae.